RNAcentral lists this ribosomal RNA (114 nucleotides) under uncultured eukaryote. Its description in RNAcentral is "partial small subunit ribosomal RNA". The record is from RNAcentral.
GUCGCUACCCGGAACUGAGCCACUUCGAGAAGCACACGGACUGCUGACUUCGGGUCUUCACGGGCUUGCAAGUCGGUGGAAAGUGGUCUAAUCGCAGUGGCUUGAACCGGGUAA